GAUGAACGCUGGCGGCGUGCCUAAUACAUGCAAGUCGAGCGAACGGACGAGAAGCUCGCUUCCCUGAUGUUAGCGGCGGACGGGUGAGUAACACGUGGAUAACCUACCUAUAAGACUGGGAUAACUUCGGGAAACCGGAGCUAAUACCGGAUCAUAUUUUGAACCGCAUGGUUCAAAAGUGAAAGACGGUCUUGCUGUCACUUAUAGAUGGAUCCGCGCUGCAUUAGCUAGUUGGUAAGGUAACGGCUUACCAAGGCAACGAUGCAUAGCCGACCUGAGAGGGUGAUCAGCCACACUGGAACUGAGACACGGUCCAGACUCCUACGGGAGGCAGCAGUAGGGAAUCUUCCGCAAUGGGCGAAAGCCUGACGGAGCAACGCCGCGUGAGUGAUGAAGGUCUUCGGAUCGUAAAACUCUGUUAUUAGGGAAGAACAUAUGUGUAAGUAACUGUGCACGUCUUGACGGUACCUAAUCAGAAAGCCACGGCUAACUACGUG
Molecule: ribosomal RNA, 497 nt
Filed under: uncultured bacterium
Lineage: Bacteria
Description: partial 16S ribosomal RNA
Rfam family: Bacterial small subunit ribosomal RNA
Source: RNAcentral